RNAcentral lists this non-coding RNA (106 nucleotides) under Metabacillus indicus. Its description in RNAcentral is "Bacillus cibi SAM-I sequence". It matches the Rfam family "SAM riboswitch aptamer (S box leader)". From Rfam's summary of the family: The SAM riboswitch is found upstream of a number of genes which code for proteins involved in methionine or cysteine biosynthesis in Gram-positive bacteria. The SAM riboswitch acts at the level of transcription termination control. The predicted structure consists of a complex stem-loop region followed by a single stem loop terminator region. The record is from Rfam by way of RNAcentral. Lineage: Bacteria; Bacillati; Bacillota; Bacilli; Caryophanales; Bacillaceae.
UUCUUAUCACGAGAGGUGGAGGGAUAUGGCCCUUUGAAACCUCGGCAGCGGACUCAUUAUGAGAACUGUGCCAACUCCAGCAGGCGUGCAGCCUGAGAGAUGAGAA